ACUCCUACGGGAGGCAGCAGUGGGGAAUUUUGGACAAUGGGCGAAAGCCUGAUCCAGCAAUGCCGCGUGUGUGAAGAAGGCCUUCGGGUUGUAAAGCACUUUUGUCCGGAAAGAAAUCCUCUGGGUUAAUACCUCGGGGGGAUGACGUACCGAAGAAUA
This 159-nucleotide ribosomal RNA is filed under the name uncultured Burkholderia sp. RNAcentral's name for it is "partial 16S ribosomal RNA". It matches the Rfam family "Bacterial small subunit ribosomal RNA", at positions 335 to 487 of the family's 1533-position model. Lineage: Bacteria; Pseudomonadati; Pseudomonadota; Betaproteobacteria; Burkholderiales; Burkholderiaceae. The record is from RNAcentral.